CAGCCGUAAACUAUGCGCGUUAGGUGUAUCGGUGACCACGAGUUACCGAGGUGCCGAAGGGAAACCGUGAAACGUGCCGCCUGGGAAGUACGGUCGCAAGGCUGAAACUUAAAGGAAUUGGCGGGGGAGCACCACAACAGGUGGAGCCUGCGGUUUAAUUUGGACUCAACGCCGGGAAGCUCACCGGAUAGGACAGCAGAAUGAUUGCCGGGCUGAAGACCCUGCAUGACUAGCUGAGAGGAGGUGCAUGGCGUAGACGUCU
RNAcentral lists this ribosomal RNA (262 nucleotides) under uncultured archaeon. RNAcentral describes it as "partial 16S ribosomal RNA". It matches the Rfam family "Archaeal small subunit ribosomal RNA", at positions 748 to 1009 of the family's 1478-position model. The record is from RNAcentral.